UAAUGUAUGGGGAUCUGCCCGAUAGAGGGGGAUAACUACUGGAAACGGUGGCUAAUACCGCAUAAUGUCUACGGACCAAAGCAGGGGCUCUUCGGACCUUGCACUAUCGGAUGAACCCAUAUGGGAUUAGCUAGUAGGUGGGGUAAAGACUCACCUAGGCGACGAUCUCUAGCUGGUCUGAGAGGAUGAUCAGCCACACUGGGACUGAGACACGGCCCAG
RNAcentral lists this ribosomal RNA (220 nucleotides) under uncultured bacterium. Its description in RNAcentral is "partial 16S ribosomal RNA". It matches the Rfam family "Bacterial small subunit ribosomal RNA", at positions 111 to 334 of the family's 1533-position model. The record is from RNAcentral.